CAGAGCAGUACGGUCAACUAAAACUUAAAGAACUUGGCGGUUUUCUAGAUCUCCUUGGAGGAGCUUGUCAUCGAAUUGAUAACCCACAAGACACCUCACCAACUCAAGACUUAUCAGCUUGUAUACCAUCGUCGUCAGCUCACAUCAAAAGAAAGUAAGCCAAAUGGAAAAUACCCACAACGUCAGAUCAAGGUGCAGCUAAUGAGCUGGGGAUAGAUGAGCUACUUUAUUCACAAAACAGAGGAAGUAACCA
RNAcentral lists this ribosomal RNA (253 nucleotides) under Holothuria scabra. Its description in RNAcentral is "partial small subunit ribosomal RNA". The record is from RNAcentral. Lineage: Eukaryota; Metazoa; Echinodermata; Holothuroidea; Aspidochirotida; Holothuriidae.